UAUAUUUGUCGAACUCUCGAUCUCUGUUGCUCUUCAUCGAUCUGUCGCUGGAGAGCUUUGAUUAGUCUCUUCAUCGAACUUGAACUCAAACUCGAUCUGUUCUUCAUCAAAUCGCAGAUCCAAAAUCGAUAUCAUUCUCGAACCAGAUCGAUCUCUGUUGCUCUUAUCUUAGGUAUAAUUUUCAUUUUCUUAAUCGAUGUUCGAGUUUGAACCAGAUCGAUCUCUGUUGGUCUACUUUCUCAUUGUCAAAUCUGCUGAUUAACUCUCUAAUUUUUUCAUUUUAAGAUUAAAUCAGAUCAGAUCGUUGAACCAGGUCAUAACUUUACGCUAACAGCUAGUUUUGAAGGUUUAAAUGCUUCAAGCUAUGAUGCUCUUGUGAUCCCGGGAGGCAGAGCUCCAGAAUACCUAGCAUUGAAUGAGUCAGUUAUUAAAUUAAUGAAGGAAUUCAUGGAGGUUGGAAAGCCAGUAGCAUCAAUCUGCUAUGGACAGUAGAUUUUGUCUGCUGCUAGUGCUCUCAAGGGCAAGAAAUGUACUGCAUACCCUGCAGUGAAACUCAACGUGGUCUUAGGUAGGGCAACAUGGUUAGAACCUGAUCCAAUAAGUCGAAUCUGGUAACUGGAGCAGCAUGGCCAGGUCACCCUGAGCUCAUUUCUCAGCUAAUGGUGUUGCUUGGUGUCCGGAUGAAGUGAAUCAAUCCAUCAUCAUAAGUGGGGAAAGUGGAGCUGGGAAAACAGAAACAGCAAAAAUUGCAAUGCAAUACUUGGCUGCUCUUGGUGGCAGUGGUGGGGUAGAAAGCGAAAUCCUUCAGACAAGCUACAUUCUAGAAGCAUUUGGGAAUGCAAAAACAUCCAGGAAUGACAAUUCUAGCCGAUUUGGGAAGUUGAUUGAGAUUCAUUUUAGUGCAAUUGGGAAAAUAUGUGGCGCUCAAAUCCAGACUUUUCUGCUUGAAAAGUCAAGAGUGGUUCAGCUCGCUCAUGGAGAAAGGUGAUACCAUAUCUUUUACCAACUUUGUGCUGGUGCUCCGUCUGGCCUCAAAGGAAGCCUUAGAUACUGUUCGACUUUGCAAAGAAGACCAAGACAAUGCGUUUGAAAUGCUUGCUGUAGUGUUGUGGCUGGGAAACAUAUCAUUUCAAGUAAUUGACAAUGAAAAUCAUGUAGAGGUGGUGGCUGAUGAAGGUAGCUUGCCUAGUACAUCAUCGAGUACUGGUUCAACACAUGACACUACUGCUGGUGGAAUGGUGAGAGAUGCUUUGUGGAGAGUGCUUUUGUCGCUGAUAUUUUCAAUAUAAUUGGUGAGAAAUGCAAUUAACUUGGAGUUUUCAGACUACAAGAGGUUGAUAAACAAUAGCAUUGUGCUACAAAACAUCAGAUUUUGCAGAAAUGUUUUUGCUGGUCGUUGCUUUCGGCUUAAUAGCAAGUGACGAAUAUAGUGCACAGUGCACAACAGAAUUGGGAGACGCAAAAUCUGAAAAUUGCUGCUCUUACCAAAGAUAUGAUUUGAUUGCUCCCUAAGUCCGGAGCGAUUUAGGAAACACAGAUGAUACUUUUUUUUCAUUUUUUUGUAAAUCACAGCUGUUUUGUUUUUCAAGUUACUUUGUAAUUAGCUAGAAAUGAACUACAUGUUUUGGAUAAUAGAGUCAAUGAUACUGUGUUGUUAUGGGGCAGAGAUCCAGAUAUACUUUGUUGUUGGGUAUAAUUACUGAUGUUGAAUAAGGGCUGAACAACCCAUAGAGAUCAAGAGAUUGAUG
Molecule: non-coding RNA, 1748 nt
Organism: Camellia sinensis
Lineage: Eukaryota; Viridiplantae; Streptophyta; Magnoliopsida; Ericales; Theaceae
Source: RefSeq, a predicted model, not a curated record